This 502-nucleotide ribosomal RNA is filed under the name Hymenocera picta. RNAcentral's name for it is "partial 16S ribosomal RNA". It matches the Rfam family "Bacterial large subunit ribosomal RNA", at positions 1833 to 2592 of the family's 2925-position model. Lineage: Eukaryota; Metazoa; Arthropoda; Malacostraca; Decapoda; Palaemonidae. The record is from RNAcentral.
GUAUGAUUAUAUAUAAAGUCUAGCCUGCCCACUGGAAUUUUAAGGGCCGCGGUAAUUUGACCGUGCGAAGGUAGCAUAAUCAUUAGUCUUUUCAUUGAAGGCUGGAAUGAAUGGUUGGAUGAGGGAUAUACUGUCUUUAUAUUUAAAUAAAUGAAAUUUAACUUUUAAGUGAAAAGGCUUAAAUAUUUUAGUGGGACGAUAAGACCCUAUAAAACUUUAUUUGGUAGUAGAGUUAGCGAUGACUUUGUUUUAAAAUUGCUAUUUUUGCGUUAAAUUUUGUUGGGGAGACAUUAAUAUAAUAGGUAACUGUUGUUGAAAUUAAAUAAUUAUAAUUAGAGUUUUGAUCCUUUAUUAGAGAUUAAAAGAUUAAGUUACUUUAGGGAUAACAGCGUAAUUUCCUUUGAGAGUCUCUUAUCGACAAGGUUAGUUGCGACCUCGAUGUUGAAUUAAAAUUUCUGGGGGGGUGUAUCUUUUCUCCUAGUGAGUCUGUUCGACCCUUAAA